Molecule: ribosomal RNA, 780 nt
Filed under: Streptomyces albidoflavus
Lineage: Bacteria; Bacillati; Actinomycetota; Actinomycetes; Kitasatosporales; Streptomycetaceae
Description: bacterial SSU rRNA
Rfam family: Bacterial small subunit ribosomal RNA
Source: RNAcentral
CGAUGAACCGCUUUCGGGCGGGGAUUAGUGGCGAACGGGUGAGUAACACGUGGGCAAUCUGCCCUGCACUCUGGGACAAGCCCUGGAAACGGGGUCUAAUACCGGAUAUGACUGUCCAUCGCAUGGUGGAUGGUGUAAAGCUCCGGCGGUGCAGGAUGAGCCCGCGGCCUAUCAGCUUGUUGGUGAGGUAGUGGCUCACCAAGGCGACGACGGGUAGCCGGCCUGAGAGGGCGACCGGCCACACUGGGACUGAGACACGGCCCAGACUCCUACGGGAGGCAGCAGUGGGGAAUAUUGCACAAUGGGCGAAAGCCUGAUGCAGCGACGCCGCGUGAGGGAUGACGGCCUUCGGGUUGUAAACCUCUUUCAGCAGGGAAGAAGCGAAAGUGACGGUACCUGCAGAAGAAGCGCCGGCUAACUACGUGCCAGCAGCCGCGGUAAUACGUAGGGCGCAAGCGUUGUCCGGAAUUAUUGGGCGUAAAGAGCUCGUAGGCGGCUUGUCACGUCGGUUGUGAAAGCCCGGGGCUUAACCCCGGGUCUGCAGUCGAUACGGGCAGGCUAGAGUUCGGUAGGGGAGAUCGGAAUUCCUGGUGUAGCGGUGAAAUGCGCAGAUAUCAGGAGGAACACCGGUGGCGAAGGCGGAUCUCUGGGCCGAUACUGACGCUGAGGAGCGAAAGCGUGGGGAGCGAACAGGAUUAGAUACCCUGGUAGUCCACGCCGUAAACGGUGGGCACUAGGUGUGGCAACAUUCCACGUUGUCCGUGCCGCAGCUAACGCAUU